CUACCCUUGACAUGUCCAGUAUGGUUUCCAGAGAUGGAUUCCUUCAGUUCGGCUGGCUGGAACACAGGUGCUGCAUGGCUGUCGUCAGCUCGUGUCGUGAGAUGUUGGGUUAAGUCCCGCAACGAGCGCAACCCUCAUCCUUAGUUGCCAUCACGUUUGGGUGGGCACUCUAAGGAAACUGCCGGUGGUAAGCCGGAGGAAGGUGGGGAUGACGUCAAGUCCUCAUGGCCCUUACGGGUAGGGCUACACACGUGCUACAAUGGCAGUGACAAUGGGUUAAUCCCAAAAAGCUGUCUCAGUUCAGAUUGUCCUCUGCAACUCGAGGGCAUGAAGGUGGAAUCGCUAGUAAUCGGGAUCAGCA
RNAcentral lists this ribosomal RNA (361 nucleotides) under uncultured bacterium. RNAcentral's name for it is "bacterial SSU rRNA". It matches the Rfam family "Bacterial small subunit ribosomal RNA", at positions 975 to 1354 of the family's 1533-position model. The record is from RNAcentral.